AUCUUUGGAUCAGGUUGGUGGAUAGCAUGGCAGUGGGGACCCUCCAAACCAGGAAGGCAUCUGUCAUAGCUUUUGAAGCUGAUUUUGGAGAAUGCAAAAGUUUAGUCAUCCAACUCUUUCCUGAAGUGGACACCGGCCUUCUCAAGAUACCUGAUGUCGGUGACACCAGUUCUGAAUGCUUAGGUAUCAAGGGUGCUUUGGGUUUGCAGUGCACCAAAGGUCCA
This 224-nucleotide long non-coding RNA is filed under the name Elaeis guineensis (African oil palm). RNAcentral's name for it is "long non-coding RNA (EGUI_LNC059883)". The record is from RNAcentral. Lineage: Eukaryota; Viridiplantae; Streptophyta; Magnoliopsida; Arecales; Arecaceae.